This 97-nucleotide transfer RNA is filed under the name Streptomyces hygroscopicus subsp. sporocinereus. RNAcentral describes it as "tRNA-Pro". Lineage: Bacteria; Bacillati; Actinomycetota; Actinomycetes; Kitasatosporales; Streptomycetaceae. The record is from RNAcentral.
GGGCCGCACGGGCGGCGGUCCGGCGGCCUCGUCCGCGCCAGGGGUGCGGGGAGGAGAUGUUGUCGUCGCUCUCCGGGUGACCCCGGACGUAGCCUGC